RNAcentral lists this transfer RNA (87 nucleotides) under Planctomycetia bacterium. RNAcentral describes it as "tRNA-Leu". It matches the Rfam family "tRNA". From Rfam's summary of the family: Transfer RNA (tRNA) molecules are approximately 80 nucleotides in length. Their secondary structure includes four short double-helical elements and three loops (D, anti-codon, and T loops). Lineage: Bacteria; Pseudomonadati; Planctomycetota; Planctomycetia. The record is from RNAcentral.
GGGCGAGUGGCGGAACGGCAGACGCGGGGGUCUUAAAAGCCCCUGGGCCUCACGGCCCGGUUGAGGGUUCGAGUCCCUCCUCGCCCA